UACGUAGGGUGCGAGCGUUAAUCGGAAUUACUGGGCGUAAAGGCGUGCGCAGGCGGUGAUGUAAGACAGAAUGUGAAAUCCCCGGGCUUAACCUGGGAACUGCAUUUGUGACUGGCAAGCUAGAGUAUGGCAGAGGGGGGUAGAAUUCCACGUGAUAGCAGUGAAAUGCGUAGAGAUGUGGAGGAAUACCGAUGGCGAAGGCAGCCCCCUGGGCCAAUACUG
RNAcentral lists this ribosomal RNA (222 nucleotides) under uncultured bacterium. RNAcentral describes it as "partial 16S ribosomal RNA". It matches the Rfam family "Bacterial small subunit ribosomal RNA", at positions 524 to 742 of the family's 1533-position model. The record is from RNAcentral.